This 75-nucleotide non-coding RNA is filed under the name Clostridioides difficile E16. Lineage: Bacteria; Bacillati; Bacillota; Clostridia; Peptostreptococcales; Peptostreptococcaceae. The record is from RNAcentral.
GAACGCCGUAUGAGGUGAAAGUCUCACGUACGGUGUGGAGCAGGGGAAAAGACGGAGAUAGCAUCAAACUCUUAC